Molecule: long non-coding RNA, 852 nt
Organism: Hylaeus volcanicus
Lineage: Eukaryota; Metazoa; Arthropoda; Insecta; Hymenoptera; Colletidae
Exons: 3
Source: RefSeq, a predicted model, not a curated record
CUGAAGUCUAGAUCGAGAGUCCUAUUUUCCAAUAUGAGAGUCUUGUGCUAUAGAAAACUAUACUAAUGUAUGUACACCAUUUGUUAUUAAUUAUGUAAAAGUGGGAUAUAAAUAUUAUGACUAUAGUAUGUAAAAGUAGCUUAAAAGUAUAUUAAUAUCUGUAAAUGUAGUAUAAAUUUGAUGGACUCUGAAAGUAGUUUGACGUAUGAUGCAUUAAACUUGAAAUAUUUACAGUGGUUUGAAGAAAAUAUAAGUGUGAAGGAAGAUAAAACCUUCUUUGGACCAAAUUUAAGUGUUUUAAAAUUAAUAAGAGAUAUUUUAAAUUAAUACAAACGUGAAAUAGACAAAAUUGUUGGUACGAAGCACAAAGAGGUUAAGUGAACGCGUGGAAGAGAUGAAGGGAAGCUACCCAAGGAAAGAAUUGUGCAGUUAAUUGCAAGAGUGUGUUACAGAUUUUACAAAUUGGGACUUCAAGAUAGCAUCAUUAAUUAUGGCUUCCAUUAUGGCAUAUAUAUGACUGAAUACGAUCAUUACUUCUUCUGUAGGAACAGAAAGUCCUCCUCUUUCAAUAGAAUGGGACCCAUAACCAGAUAUGUAAAUUUUAAUGGAAUCAUCAACAACACAAGUGGAUAAAUAUUCAGUUUCAAAGAUUCCCAGGAAACAAGUUACAUUAAUGGAAAGAUCAUGAAGAUUAUUAUCGUUAUCACAAAUUUCAAAUCUAUUUUUGAUUUAAGUAAAAGAAAAGAAUCUUGCCGAUUUCUUAAAUAUAUGUUUUAAUCUAAUAUUUUUCUCUGCAUGAACUACUUCAUUGUAUGAAACGUGAUAAUUACAACCAAAUAAAAGUCUAUAGUU